UUCAGAUAGGCUCUCUGCAAUGAUCUGUUAGCAGGAAGAAAUUAAUUCAUUUUUCUAUGAACCAGGAAUUGCCAGUGUAACAGUUGUGCAAAUUUAAGUGAUGUAUUAUCUGAAGCUAAAUCAGUUCCAAAUUCAGACAUUCCAAUCAUCUCAUAGUCAAAACCCUCAGGGUUUCUUUUUCUUUUAAUCCAUGUCUAGUGCAAUUAGAAAUUUACCAAUGAAAUCAAGGAAAUCAAACUAUUAUUAUUGUGGUGAUUUAAUUUUUCAACAUAAAAUUAGGAACUUUACUUUCAUUAAUUAGAAAGUUCAUAUUAUUUAGGACUUUACUAUUAUUUAGGUUGUAGUGUUUUUAUCUUAUUUAGAAAGAAAUAUGGGUUUGGGUUCCUAAUUAGAAUUUGAUUAGUAUUUCUUGUUUAGCAUUCCAAAUCCUAAUAAUAUUUUCUACUAUAAAUACCUAUGUCCUUUAGGCAAACUAUUAUUAUGAUUAUAAUUGAUAUUGAAAAUUAAUAAAGUGUUGAUAAUUUGUUUUUAUUGAAAAUUUGUUUAUUG
Molecule: unclassified non-coding RNA, 549 nt
Filed under: Hevea brasiliensis (rubber tree)
Lineage: Eukaryota; Viridiplantae; Streptophyta; Magnoliopsida; Malpighiales; Euphorbiaceae
Source: RNAcentral